ACUGUGAAAAAAUCCUUCUCUCACCCUACAGAUACCUGUACGGAGAACUUGGGAGGCAUUUUUAUAAGCUCAUUGUCAAGUGAAUGUUAAAGUCCCCAUUCACUGAGAAGCAAAGGGUGAAGAAAUGAGACCCUACAUGGCUUUUUAGUGCAUUGAUGGAGCAGAGACACGUCUAUGAACAACUGCCUAUGCAAACUGAUUACUCGGCAGUAUAAUUUAUCAGUUUGUAUGAGUAAGUGAGUGCUUCUCACUAUGGAUUUAGCUUGCACUUCAAUUUAGAACUAGAAGGAAUAAGUGGAAAUCAGGAGAAACAUUAAAGACAUUCCAGUGUCACUGAGCAUGCCGAAACCUGAAAACAUGUUCCAUUAUCUUGCUUUGGAUUUAUGGAAAUUCUGAACAGUGAUGUGAGAGUGACUACAGUUUGAAGUAUCUGUUAAAUACAGCAACAUGACAUCACAAGGAUUGUUUUGGAGUCUUCUGGAUAUGAGAACAUUAUAAAAGGUGAAAAAGUAGAACUGAAAUAUGAAGGGAGAAAAAGAGACAACCAUGGUUUCAAGUCUCACUUAGAGAAGAAGGAUUGUUUAUUUAUUUGACGGAAAUUGGGUCAAUUGAAGACUCUGACACAGAGAAUAACGGUACCAGA
This 643-nucleotide long non-coding RNA is filed under the name Pan troglodytes (chimpanzee). Its description in RNAcentral is "lincRNA". The record is from RNAcentral. Lineage: Eukaryota; Metazoa; Chordata; Mammalia; Primates; Hominidae.